This 440-nucleotide ribosomal RNA is filed under the name uncultured bacterium. RNAcentral describes it as "partial 16S ribosomal RNA". It matches the Rfam family "Bacterial small subunit ribosomal RNA", at positions 338 to 795 of the family's 1533-position model. The record is from RNAcentral.
CCUACGGGAGGCAACAGUGGGGAAUAUUGCACAAUGGGGGAAACCCUGAUGCAGCGACGCCGCGUGAGUGAAGAAGUAUUUCGGUAUGUAAAGCUCUAUCAGCAGGGAAGUAAAUGACGGUACCUGACUAAAGAUCCCCGGCUAACUCCGUGCCAGCAGCCGCGGUAAGACGUAGGGGGCAAGCGUUAUCCGGAUUUACUGGGUGUAAAGGGGGCGUAGACGGACAGACAAGUCAGAAGUGAAAGCCCAGGGCUCAACCCUGGGACUGCUUUUGAAACUGCCGGGCUAGAGUGCAGGAGGGGUAAGCGGAAUGCAUAGUGUAGCGGUGAAAUGCGUAGAUAUUAGGCGGAACACCAGUGGCGAAGGCGGCUUACUGAACUGUAACUGACGUUGAGGCUCGAAAGCGUGGGGAGCAAACAGGAUUAGAUACUCGGGUAGUC